AGAGCAGUCCGUCUUCAAGGUCCAGAUAACAUGAGAAAUGAAGCUUCUCACAUCGUUGUUGGGGAUGACGGACUGUAGUUGAUGGGUUAGCGGAAUUUUAAACUGAUCACCUGGGGAUGAGAGCAAUGGGUAACUGAAGCUUUUGGGCUCGGGGGACAGGUCAGUGCCCACGUUGUUGUAUUCCCAUUUUGUCUCAGUUUGUUUAACAGUUGGCUCUAAGUUGAAUGCAGUCCUAGUGGGAAUCUGCCUCAGGAAGAUGAUUGUAGUUUGUGUUUUCAGAGAUGGUGCCUUCUGGCAUAGUAGUGUUUUCCAUAAAAACGUUUUCUUUAGAGGCAUUUCUUGCAGUUGUGUUUUUUACAGUAGUGUUUUCUAUAAAACGUUCUGAAGGAGCAAAUACUUCCGGAAAAGGGUUUUCUUGAGGACUCAGGUCUCCUGAGGAUGAAAAAGCCCCUUGUGAAGGGGAAUUUAUGAGGCUCUUCGCUGCAGAGAACGGCGGCCUCUUUGUGAGCAUCAGUCUAUUGAGAUAACUUUUCUUUCUCAAUUUUCUAAUCUUUUUGGCCUUGGGUGUUCUGUGGGCCACACGGGAGUGAGUUUUAUGAAAGUGGUAUUUUUUUUCUGGAAUGUACGACUCGUUUAGCAGCCUUCAUAUUUUUUAACUCCAGCCUUUGCAUUUUCUAAAAUUAAAAUGGUGUAGGCUAAGUCUUUCGAUCUGUCUAUGACCUGAGGUAGGGCUUUUGCAGUUGUGGAAGGCAGAAGGCAUGCCCAUGGAGAAGGGUUUCAGCAAAGAGGAGACUGUUAGCUUCUGCUCUUGGGUGAAUGAAGGCUUGGUGUAGAUGGCGUUUCCCGCUAUGUUCUCGGGCCCCUGCACUAUGUGAGGCUAUUCCAGCUCCCUUGGGGCUGGACUCCCGAGCCUUUUUUCUUUGGCAGCAUUCUCCCCAAAUGCUUGGGCACCCUGUUCCCUCCUGAUACUCUGCUUUCCCACCUCUUUGAAGGGCCUUUUCUGGAUGUUCCUUGGGCCCAUGAGGACUCUGUUCACUCUCUGCAGGUUUUUGCCUACACUUUGAACCUUUGCCAGGCUGUUUUCCUGUGGUUGGACAGUUUCUAAUUUCUUUUCAAAUAUUUGGCAUUUAAAUUUGUUACCUAGAAGGCUGGACUGCAUAAGCAUGGCAGUUUUUUCUUCCCUUUUAACUUCAUCGAUUUUUUUCUUGUAUUUCUGCAUCUAACAUCUUUUCUAGCAAAUACGCCUUUCUCAAUUUAUUUUCAUAAGUUGAAUUGUUGGAUGCAGGUUGAAACAAGGGGCUCUUUGUAUUGUUUUUCAAAACAGGAGCUUAUCUCCAUCUUGCACAUUUGAAAAAAGCAGUUUAAUGAAUGGUAACAACAUUGAUUCCGCAUCUAGAUUUCCUGCUGAGAAAUAAGGCAAGAUGUAAUUUAGCGCAGUGAUAACAUCACUCUUAUCAUAAGUGUCUAGCUGCUCACUCCCAAAGACUGACAAGUUGAUGCCACUGCUGUCUGAGGCUGCCUCCGGCUCAGUCGUCAGCUCAAUGCUCAUGUGCUUCUUCCGGGCUUGUAACACCUUCAUGAACACUCUUUCUGGAUUCCCUACAGAUGCUUCUUCACCUGUCAAAAAAAAGAGACUGCUUUGAUCAUGAAAGAUAAUGGAACGGCAUGCAUCAGUCCACAGCUGUAUGCCCCAGUCACACAAAGUAGGAGUCAGCAAACAUUAGAGUGCCAUUUAGAGAGGAGAAACACACACCCAAGCCUAAACCUAUGAAAUGGCAACAACAAAAGGAGGAAAAGACAUCUUUUGAAAAUAUGGCUACCUACUUGGAACAUUCCUAGUGUGACAUAGAGUAACUCUGAUUAGGAUUAUUUCGUUGAUCCCCAGGGGCCAAUUGCCCAGUGCUCAGUCAAAGCCCAAGGUGGAAGACAAGUGCUUCCCUGAUGAGCUGAUGAGCUGUCCUCUCUGCAGACUGCUCCGUACCCUGUGCUGUCCUGCCUCAGAUGCAGAGAGAGCACAAGGCUCCCUCCUCAUCCUCAGUGUGCCUGUGUUCUUGCUACCAUCACAGCUGAAUGCAAUGAAAGGCUAUCCUCUGAGAGGAGCAGGGUGGAGAUGCUAAAGUGGAGGCCCCCUCCCAUUGCUGAUAGAUCCUCAUCUGGCAUGCACUCCACCCACCCACCCCAUUCUCUGCUACCACAUAUCGUAGCCCCAUUAAAGAAGACGCGACACGGAAAAAACACUGUGCCCACCCUAGUCCUUUUCUUAAAUUUGGGCAGAGAUCCAGGGUAUAGGUUAAGAGAUUUUUAAUUUGCCAGAUGGUAUGCCUAUGUUGUUAAAUAUACAAUGAAUCUAUGGUAUGAUAGCAGUUUCUGGAUAAACAUUACUUGAGGUCCUAAAAUGCAGAAGGGAAAAAGCAGCUUUUGUCAGAUGCUUACUUUGCUUUCAUUUCAUCUCUAAUAUUUUGGAUGGGGAACCAUCCAAAGCUUCUGGCCACAUGAAGGUCAAGUGUGCCAGUGUGCAGCUGGGUUUCUUUUCCAGAAUUAAAAGUAUUUUGGGUGGUGCUGAGGGUCAGAGGAAGAAGUAAAAGUUGUGAGAAAGGAGAAACAUGGGCUUGGGGAGAACCCAGAAUUGGGGACAGAAGACCUGGCACUAAGCUAUAGCACUUAGCACCUCUGAUCUUGUUUUUCCUCAUCUGUAAAAGGAGAUUAACAAUGCUUUUCUGCCCACCUCUUGGGGAGAAGGGAAUAAUUUAGUUGGUAAAAAAAAAAUGUUUUGAAAAAUAAGCAACUCUGUCUUUAUAUAAGUAGCCAAGCAUUAUUAAUUAUCCACCCCAUAUCACUGGUAGAUACCUGUAUUCAAGCUAUGUGGACAUAAAAGCAGUCACAUUUUAGAAGUCAUGAAGUUGGUGCUAAUAAACCUAAUCUACAGAAAAA
RNAcentral lists this long non-coding RNA (2931 nucleotides) under Pan troglodytes (chimpanzee). RNAcentral's name for it is "lincRNA". Lineage: Eukaryota; Metazoa; Chordata; Mammalia; Primates; Hominidae. The record is from RNAcentral.